GUGAAUCAUCGAAUUUUUGAACGCAAAUUGCACUUUCUGGUAUUCCGGAGAGUAUGCCUGUUUGAGGGUCAGUUUAAAUAAAAAUUGGGGUGGUUGCUGCCUUUUGUGGUGUCGGACCGGAGGUGUGUCGUCUUGCCUUUAGUUAAGUGACCUAAAAUUUUGCAUGAUUGUUUCGUACGUAUCUAAAUUAAUUUUUGUAUGUUUG
RNAcentral lists this unclassified non-coding RNA (205 nucleotides) under Glomeraceae sp. RNAcentral describes it as "partial contains 5.8S ribosomal RNA and internal transcribed spacer 2". The stretch from base 1 to 71 matches the Rfam family "5.8S ribosomal RNA", at positions 84 to 154 of the family's 154-position model. Lineage: Eukaryota; Fungi; Glomeromycota; Glomeromycetes; Glomerales; Glomeraceae. The record is from RNAcentral.